RNAcentral lists this ribosomal RNA (252 nucleotides) under uncultured bacterium. RNAcentral describes it as "partial 16S ribosomal RNA". It matches the Rfam family "Bacterial small subunit ribosomal RNA", at positions 524 to 776 of the family's 1533-position model. The record is from RNAcentral.
UACGUAAGGACCGAGCGUUGUCCGGAAUCAUUGGGCGUAAAGGGUACGUAGGCGGUUAGAAAAGUUAGAAGUGAAAGGCUAUAGCUCAACUAUAGUAAGCUUUUAAAACUGUUUAACUUGAGAGAUGGAAGGGAAAGUGGAAUUCCUAGUGUAGCGGUGAAAUGCGCAGAUAUUAGGAGGAAUACCGGUGGCGAAGGCGACUUUCUGGUCUGUAACUGACGCUGAUGUGCGAAAGCGUGGGGAUCAAACAGG